GCCGUGCCGUGCCGUGCCGUGCCGUGCCGUGCCGUGCCGUGCCGUGCCGUGCCGUGCCGUGCCGUGCCGUGCCGGACCAUGGCCACCAGGGCGGUGGCGGGCCGAGUGUAGCGCGGCGGUGGGGAUGGAGCAGGGGGGCCGCCGAGGCCGCGGGUGCGGAGCAGUGCUGGGAUGGAGCCACCACAGGGCCAUCGGCCAGCUCAGCCCACCCACCCAGUCCCUGCUGCGGCCGGACCAGGGCCAGCUGUCUUCCUCUGAGGCCAUCUGAAGGGGACUGGUG
Molecule: long non-coding RNA, 280 nt
Filed under: Cairina moschata (Muscovy duck)
Lineage: Eukaryota; Metazoa; Chordata; Aves; Anseriformes; Anatidae
Description: domestica (muscovy Duck (domestic type)) lncRNA (ENSCMMG00000011094.1)
Source: RNAcentral